CUAGAGAUAGAGUUUUCCUCGUCGGAGGACAAAAUGACAGGUGGUGCAUGGUUGUCGUCAGCUCGUGUCGUGAGAUGUUGGGUUAAGUCCCGCAACGAGCGCAACCCUUGAGCUUAGUUGCCAUCAGUAAGUUGGGCACUCUAAGUUGACUGCCGGUGACAAACCGGAGGAAGGUGGGGAUGACGUCAAAUCAUCAUGCCCCUUAUGAUUUGGGCUACACACGUGCUACAAUGGACAAUACAAAGGGCAGC
RNAcentral lists this ribosomal RNA (251 nucleotides) under Staphylococcus chromogenes. RNAcentral describes it as "partial 16S ribosomal RNA". It matches the Rfam family "Bacterial small subunit ribosomal RNA", at positions 1000 to 1250 of the family's 1533-position model. Lineage: Bacteria; Bacillati; Bacillota; Bacilli; Caryophanales; Staphylococcaceae. The record is from RNAcentral.